AUCGCUCAUAGCGUAUAUAAGUUGUUGCGGUUAAAAGCUCGUAGUUGGAUUUCAGUUCUGGACUGACGGUUCACCGCCCGGUGCAUACUGUCACGCUCCGAACAGCCACAACAGCCCGCUGGCUCGCACGGGGUGCUCUUCAUCGAGUGUCCCGCGUGGCCGGCAGAGUUUACUUUGAAAAAAUUAGAGUGCUCAAAGCAGGCUACACUUACGGCCUGAAUGCCUAUGCAUGGAAUAAUGGAAUAGGACCUCGGUUCUAUUUUGUCGGUUUUCUGAACCCGAGGUAAUGACUAAUAGGAACAGGCGGGGGCAUUCGUAUUGCGACGCUAGAGGUGAAAUUCUUGGACCGUCGCAAGACGAACUACUGCGAAAGCAUUUGCCAAGGAUGUUUUCAUUAAUCAAGAACGAAAGUUAGAGGUUCGAAGACGAUCGAAAUACCGCCA
This 443-nucleotide ribosomal RNA is filed under the name Eriocheir sinensis (Chinese mitten crab). RNAcentral's name for it is "SSU rRNA". It matches the Rfam family "Eukaryotic small subunit ribosomal RNA", at positions 587 to 1020 of the family's 1831-position model. The record is from RNAcentral. Lineage: Eukaryota; Metazoa; Arthropoda; Malacostraca; Decapoda; Varunidae.